Molecule: ribosomal RNA, 406 nt
Filed under: uncultured bacterium
Lineage: Bacteria
Description: bacterial SSU rRNA
Rfam family: Bacterial small subunit ribosomal RNA
Source: RNAcentral
UUAGGAAUUUUGCGCAAUGGCCGAAAGGCUGACGCAGCAACGCCGCGUGAGGGAUGAAGGCUUUCGGGUCGUAAACCUCUUUUAGCAGGAACGAAACAAAUGACGGUACCUGCAGAAAAAGCACCGGCUAACUCUGUGCCAGCAGCCGCGGUAAUACAGAGGGUGCAAGCGUUAUUCGGAUUUAUUGGGCGUAAAGAGCGUGUAGGCUGUUUACUAAGUUUGGUGUGAAAUCCCUGGGCUCAAUCCAGGAAGUGCAUUGAAUACUGGUAGACUAGAGUAUAGGAGAGGUCAGCGGAAUUCCCGGUGUAGAGGUGAAAUUCGUAGAUAUCGGGAGGAACAACAGUGGCGAAGGCGGCUGACUGGACUAUUACUGACGCUAAGGCGCGAAAGCGUGGGGAGCAAACAG